This 800-nucleotide ribosomal RNA is filed under the name Rikenella sp. enrichment culture clone SJC8. RNAcentral describes it as "bacterial SSU rRNA". It matches the Rfam family "Bacterial small subunit ribosomal RNA", at positions 64 to 862 of the family's 1533-position model. The record is from RNAcentral. Lineage: Bacteria; Pseudomonadati; Bacteroidota; Bacteroidia; Bacteroidales; Rikenellaceae.
GAGGGGCAUCGGGAGUAGCAAUACUUGCCGGCGACCGGCGCAAGGGUGCGUAACGCGUGAGCAACAUGCCCGUAUCAGGGGGAUAAUCCAUGGAAACGUGGUCUAAUACCCCAUAGUAAGUUUUUGGGGCAUCUCAAAGAUUUUAAAGCUUUGGUGGAUACGGAUUGGCUCGCGUGACAUUAGCUAGAUGGUAAGGUAACGGCUUACCAUGGCUACGAUGUCUAGGGGUUCUGAGAGGAAGGUCCCCCACACUGGAACUGAGACACGGUCCAGACUCCUACGGGAGGCAGCAGUGAGGAAUAUUGGACAAUGGAUGGGAAUCUGAUCCAGCCAUGCCGCGUGCAGGAAGACGGCCCUAUGGGUUGUAAACUGCUUUUGUAUGGGAGCAAUAAGGGCUACGUGUAGUCCGAUGAGAGUACCAUACGAAUAAGCACCGGCUAACUCCGUGCCAGCAGCCGCGGUAAUACGGAGGGUGCAAGCGUUAUCCGGAUUUAUUGGGUUUAAAGGGUGCGUAGGCGGUUUGAUAAGUCAGCGGUGAAAUAUUUCAGCUUAACUGGAAGGGUGCCGUUGAUACUGUCGAGCUUGAAUUUAGUUGCUGUGGGUGGAAUGUGUGGUGUAGCGGUGAAAUGCAUAGAUAUCACACAGAAUAUCGAUUGCGAAGGCAGCUCACAAAGCUAAUAUUGACGCUGAUGCACGAAAGUGUGGGGAUCAAACAGGAUUAGAUACCCUGGUAGUCCACACUGUAAACGAUGAUAACUCGCUGUCGGCGAUACAUAGUCGGUGGCCAAGCGAAAGCGAUA